AACGAACGCUGGCGGCAUGCCUAACACAUGCAAGUCGAACGAGACCUUCGGGUCUAGUGGCGCACGGGUGCGUAACGCGUGGGAACCUGCCCUUAGGUUCGGAAUAACUCCCCGAAAGGGGUGCUAAUACCGGAUAAUGUCUUCGGACCAAAGAUUUAUCGCCUUUGGAUGGGCCCGCGUUGGAUUAGCUAGUUGGUAGGGUAAAAGCCUACCAAGGCGACGAUCCAUAGCUGGUCUGAGAGGAUGAUCAGCCACGCUGGGACUGAGACACGGCCCAGACUCCUACGGGAGGCAGCAGUGGGGAAUAUUGGACAAUGGGCGAAAGCCUGAUCCAGCAAUGCCGCGUGAGUGAUGAAGGGCUUAGGGUUGUAAAGCUCUUUUACCCGGGAUGAUAAUGACAGUACCGGGAGAAUAAGCUCCGGCUAACUCCGUG
This 433-nucleotide ribosomal RNA is filed under the name uncultured bacterium. Its description in RNAcentral is "partial 16S ribosomal RNA". It matches the Rfam family "Bacterial small subunit ribosomal RNA", at positions 29 to 507 of the family's 1533-position model. The record is from RNAcentral.